Numida meleagris (helmeted guineafowl) is the source of this 15969-nucleotide long non-coding RNA. RefSeq lists it as uncharacterized. The record is from RefSeq and is a predicted model, not a curated record. NCBI's taxonomy places the organism in Eukaryota, Metazoa, Chordata, Aves, Galliformes, Numididae. The transcript is spliced from 3 exons.
GAGCCCGUGGGGGGCGGGCUGGGGAAGGUUCGUUGUUCUAUUGCGAUGAGCUUGUUGUAUUGGGUAUUUACGCAGCUCCCUCUGCGUGCCCAUGAGUUAGGGGAUGUCCUUCAGUUAAUCAUUCCCAGUAUGCUAAGGACUAACUCUUAGGCUGCUGGCUGGAUGAGCCCAGUUUUGCUGCUGGUUGCCUGUCGGAGCUGUUGCACACAGCACAGUUAUCGCUGCUUAACAGCUUUGGAAGGAGAAAAUCACUUGCAGCCUCAAAACAAAAAAGGCGAAGAUGGUUACAACAUCUUGACCACCUUUGCUGAUCAGCACAGUUGACCAGUAUCAGUGUCUUGAGUCUCAGUCCAACUCUCAUGUUUUGCCGCUCAUUUUCUCCAAUAUUGAGACUACCACAGAAAGCAGAAUCUCCUGGUGCCUACAUCACAUUUGUGAGCACCUUUGAAACAAUGCUGGGACUCACUUACAUUAAGAAACAAAAUCAUUACCACUGGAUUUCUGCUCUGGGAUCUUUUUUAUAACAUCAGAGCUCCCAACGUACUUCCUCCCUGGAGAGCAGUCUGAGCUUUGCAGAUGAAGCUUGUAGCAGCAAGGAUAAGGAGUACAGAACUGGAAACCCAGCACUCAGCCCUGCUUACAGCUGAGGUGAGUGCACACAGAGCAGUUGCCUCUGGAUAGAGCUCUGGUAAUGGAAGAGUUAGAAGGAUAUCAUGAUUUUGGGGUGUAGAUGUCAUUGCUCCCACAGCCUGAGUAUACCUACAUCUUCAGUCAUACAGCAAAGGUGACUUGUGCAGGGAAUUUUGUUCCCAUAUUUCCCUGUCUUGAGUUUCCAACAGGAUUUCCUCACUAAACAAUGUCAAACUGAGGCAGGUGUGGGGUGAAAGUCCUCGCAGAGGCAUGUGAGGUGGUGCCAGAUGUUUUGCAGGUGAUGGUGUUGUUUGUGAGCAAGAGCGGAAAUGGUGUGGGGAAGGGUGUGACGCUGUGCUGGUUCAGAUGAGCUAAGAAAACCAGGUCAUUAGGAAUGCCAGGCUGCUUUGUGUUCAAGCAGAGCUGAGUAUUCGGCAGCAUAAGGAAGGUUUUACAGCUAAGCUGCAUGCACAGCUCCACAGCCUCGCCUGGACUUUCUUAAAGAUCCGGAAGCUUCAUGCAAACCAUCAUUUUUCAAAGGAGUCGGGUGCUUGCUCAGGAGAAUCCAGUUUUUUUUUUUAGGCAUUUCUGAACAGAAAGAUAGAGCUGUGCAAAUGUACUCCUCAGCAUAAAGGUCUUCUCUUAACUGGACUUCUUCACUCUCUCCCCUGUUCUCAUUUCCUAUCAAGCAAGCACUGCGUUCCUGCAGCAUUUUGGAGGGGUGGGCUGUUCCCCGCAGCUGUUAGCUGAAAGGGCUGUGCUUCAGUCCCCAUGGAAACAAUUUGGAGAGUUUUUGAGCUUGUGUAGCAUUGCCGUACUGUAUUUCACCUCCCUUUUCACUUCCAUUAGGAGUUCUGCAAAGCUUUAAUUCAUUAAUGUUUGAAAAGCCCUGUGAGGUCCUCAAAGAAGGUGCUAGAGAGAAGCAAAGUGUUAUUACCUCAGAUUAACUGUUUCUGUUUUGCCCUGGAGUCACUGCUGUGCUUGCUCGCUGUGCUUGGUGAAAGCCAGAAUGAGGAGCGAGGGCGUCUUGUCAGCGACGGCCUCCUGGAGAGCUCUUCUGUGCUGCAGAAAGUCACCUCGACACCGGCUGGCAGGCCAACCAAAACUUCUGUGAGGGCAGGCAGAUGGGGGUACAUUCUGGAAAGCUUGAUACUCUGAUCUUCAGGAGUAAAAUGGAGGGAAAUUGUAAAAGAAGAUAGCAGCACAGCUCCAUGAUGCUCUGAUGCAUACCAUUGCUGAACAUCACAGACUGUGGGACAGAGCAGCUGAGAGCUUGCGGCACCUGUCACAACAAGAGUAAUUGCUGCCACCAUGGAUGCAAGUGUCCUCCAGCCCCAAAGUCCUCAGCACAGAAGAACGUGGCAUGUCCUUGAAGGACAUACAAUCUGUCAUGCUCAGCACAGUUACGCUCUCUUCCACCUGUACUGUUUUCCCUGUGAGGGCAGCCACCCUUGCACCAUGAAACCAGCCUGUGCAGCUGACGGGUGUCAGCACGGCUGCCUGUGCUCGGCUGCCUUCUCUGAGCAAGGCCUCUUUGAAGAUACUGAUGCUACUAAAAUAUUCAGCUACCUCAGGGAUCUACAUCCACCUGAGCCAGGGGCUUUCAGGUUUCUGCUCCUGAUGUUAGUGGUGUGCAUACAGAGCUCUGGUGUAGCUUGGAGCAGGCUGCACCCCCAUGCUGUGGCCAAGCGUAUCCCAUACAUAUCUGUAAUUCAGAAAAUAACAUGCUACAGCCUAAAGGGUCUGACAUUUCUAUUCUCUGCCCAGUGUCUCAUCACCUUUCAGGCACCUGGUGGUCCCCAGUCUCUCCCAGAUGCCUGCUAAACCAUUUGUCCUUGAGGAUCACUGCAGAGCUCUGGGUAAAUAUGCAUCUGUGCACUGGGCUUUGGUGUCCCCAUCCCUCACUGCUCCACUGCUUCAGUGUGUGGGAGCCCUGUCGGGUGGUUCCCCUGCAAAAUCCUCCCCAGCUUUCUGCCGCAGUGGCCUCCCGUGUUGUAAAGAGGAGACUGCAGCUGCUGGCGAGGUUUUCUGAAGAGCCUGCCAACAGGCAUUGUAUCUGGGCUGCAUUUUUCCUUCCCUUCUUCAAUUCUGCUUUGUGUGUGUAUGUGUGUGUGCAGCGUUGUUGUUUUAAUAAUGCUUUUAUUUUCUUUUUAAUUAAUCAUGGCUAUCUAGGAAGUUACAAACAAUAAGAAAUAGCUAAACUUUCACUGCCUGCCUCAUUAGGGAUACAGUGAGAGAGAAGCACAUCUCCCCAUCUCUGCUCUUAUUUCCAGCAAUCACAAGAGCCUGGUUUAAACUGUUUAUUUUAUCAUUUAAAAGAAAUUGUGUCUCAGGCAUGCUUUCACCAGUUUGGCAUGAUCAGCUGAAAACCACCAUAACAAGAAACGAAAGGAUCGACGUCUAUCCGGGUCAGAUCCUUGCCUGAUAGGCUGCCCAAGCCCCAGGCCAGGCAGAGCCGAUGGGGUGCAAGUCACUGCUCACUGUCACAGCAGUCUGAGGUGAGCCUGAGCCUAGUGGGUUCCCCCGAGGCAUCCCCCCCAGCCUGGUGAUGCCCAGCCCCUGCUUGCUUACUGUGCCCUCUCUGCAGCAUGCAGCAUGCUCUGCCCUCUGCCACCCUGCUUCAGGCUCCCCUUGCCCCUUCUUCAUGUCCUCCCACUGUGUGAUUCAUUCAUGGUUCAGAGAUACCAGCCUGAAUGGAAAAAAACUCAUCAAACAUUCUGUACAUUUCUUAGUGACUCACAAGGGUGACCAGCUCACUCAGUCACUCACUCUCUGCCUCAUAGGCUCGCUUGGCCCCCCCAUGUCACUCCUGAUGGUCACUGCUGUUUCUUUGCUGUUUCCUGCACGACAAAUCUUGGGAUGCUGCAGCAGCCCAAUGCAGAACUCUCCCUCACUGACCCUGCCACACAGGACAAGGAGUGGCGGAGAGCCCUGACUGCAGCAGCCCUGCCUAUGGGACUGCACAGCAGAACUGCAGUUUCUCCCUCAGCUUCUCCAGUUUGGCUACGCACAAAUUACUUCGUCAUUGUGGUGAAACAAAUAAGGCUUCAUUAUCAUUACCAUCCUGAUGGGAGUAAACAAGUUUAUUUACACUUGAGCACUACUGAAGAAUAAAGUCAUAGAGGAAAGUUCAUGGUAGGUGGCCUGUCUUUGUCGUUAGGGACGGCUUUUACCAAAUCACUGCCCGCUCGGCAGGACAGGCUGCUAUUCAGGCAGGCCCGGGUUAAUGAAAGUACGGUGUGUGCUUGUUAAAAGGAGGACUACAACACUUGUAAUCAUGGGUGGUCACAUUUUUAUUUAAUGAUACGUAUCUUCCCUUUCUCUGGCGUUCAUUCUUAACUCUUUGCCUCCCACUUGCCCGUCCUUAUGCAAUGACUAAUUAAGGCCUGAGUGGUAAAACCUGACACCACGUCCACAACCAGCUAAACCCACUUAACAAGUCAUUUCUGUUUCUAAAUAAUCCUUUUGCUGACAGCCCUAAGAUACCAAAAGCAAAAAGACCUCAAAGCAGAAAGGGCCCCACAUGUGUAAUCACUGGAGCUAAAAUAAUAAUAAAAGGACAACUGCAAACACUCUUGUGGAGGAAAAGGCUGCAAAACAGAACAGCUUCCUUUCUUUCAAGGCCUUGCUUUGGCCCCAGUGAUAAAUCUGUUGGGACAAGGAUACUUCAAAGCCAGAAGAUUAACCCUGCCCUCACUUGCGUGAGUUCCAAAGCUUGUGUCAAUGGAGUUAUCCCCGGGCAGGAGAAUCAGCCCUGCUGUUCUUAUCUACAGACGCAAAGAAAGCUGAAGCCAGCUAUGAUGGGGAAAAAAAAAUCUAUUUAUCUUUGACAUGAUCUUGCUGAAUUCCUGAGUAUAUCAUGCUACCCUGAGCAGCCUCCUACCCCUUCCAAACUCCCCUGUGACUUCUUAUGACUGACCAGUCUGGAGUGCUCAUGCCUGGAUCCUGGGGAAUUUCAAGCUCAGAUGCCAUUUUUCCAUCUUCCAGCAUAUUACAGAGCUGCACAGGACGAUAUGUACGUGUAUAUGCCCACACACAAAGGCAGAACUCGCCAUCGCUCACCUGGUGUAUUAAUCAGUGUGUUGCAGGCUGUUACUUGUUUCUGUGGUCAUGCAUAGAAGUCUACCUGCCAGCUUUUCUCGCUCCCCACAGUAAUUCUUGGACUUCACCAUCACUUUUAACAGAGGAGCAGGGAUGUGAGAACAUAUUUCUCCAAGCUUUGGAAAACCCACAGCUGGAUGGAAAGCUGAUGCUCCAGUGCAGUGUGUGAAUUAUUGCCUGUCACAGAAAUUAGUCACAAUCAUUUUCCAGAAGCAUUUAAGAAUAUAAAAACCCAAAUUACAAGCAGUUUUGGAAUGGGGAAGGUUCCCUACUCCCUUCUGCCUGUCCUAAGCGGACAGAGAAAAUGCUUAAGGAAAAGCUUUGUGCGACGCUCUGACUUAGGUGCAGUUCCUCUCUUUGGUUUCCUUAUGGGUCAGAGGAGACCCAUUGAGCAUGGCUCCUGCCCUGCUCUCAUUCCAUACUCUCUGAGCCCAGGAGGGACUGAGAACUCCUGCUCCCACAUCCCUGUCUGAGGCCUGGGACAGCAGAGCAGGAGGAGCCCGCUGCUAAGGGAGAGCAACAGGGGCAUCGCUACUGUUGACAUGAGCAUGUCCCCACCUGCCCAGUGCUCCCAGCACUCUCUGGCCCUACUUCAAAUUCUGCUUAAAAGUGUAUUUAUUAUUCUAGAGGAAACAGUCUGCUGGCUGCACGAGUUGUGAUAAGAGGGUGAAUGAUGGACUUCUGGUACACUGGAGCCUCCAUAUAUGGUGGGCUGGGCUAGGAAAAUCCAGGUAUCUAAAGGCGUAAUUCAGCCAAGCAAUUAGCUGCGCUGAAGGGUUUAGUAGGGCUGCAAGCCUUUGGCCCUGAGCUCACAUCUCCCCUUGCCCAAAUGCACAGUGCUCAACAGAUGUGGGCAACGUGUCCAGGGCACCUCAUCCCCAGUUUACUUGCAUAAACCUGAGGCAUGAAAACAUGAGUAUCAGAGGGAAUGCUGGCAUAAAUAAGGAGAGCAGGUGAAGUGUCACCAGGAUAAGCCAAACUGCUGCUGAGGCUGCAGGUGGCAAAUGAGACAGUGUUGCCUCUGAAGCAGAGAAUACAGAUAGAGUUAUUAAAUAAAUAUGCUAAGAUAAUGGGCAAUGCUAACCAUGUGAAUAACUAAUACUUGCUGCUUAAAUAUUGUUAACCCCGCUGAGUGCUUUACACAUAUCAGCAACCAAACCGGGAGCCCUGCUGGCCUCCCCAGCAGGAGGCAAACCAAGACCCAGAGAGCCAGGGCUCCUGCUGCCAGCUGACAUCCCUCAGCCUGGGAGCUCAACUAGAGGGAAUACUUCAAAAAAAAAAAAAAAAAAAAAAAAGCUAGGAAAGUGUGUUGGUUUUCAUUUAUUUAUUUAUUUUGAGUGACGGAAACUGUCUCUGAGUAUAAAGGAGGAAGAAAUUCACGUGAAGAAAAUUCAAAGCGAGUCCUGAACCUCUCACCUUGCUGACUCCUCUGUUCAGUGGCAGAAACAAACCCAAGUGGGGACUCAGAAACAGCUGAGAUCUCCCAUGAGCCAUGCACUUACUAAAGGCAGCCCUGGGGGUUUCCCUUCACCUUUAUCUCUUUCUUUUCUGCCAUUUUUCCCAUCAAUUAGAGAAGGCAAUGAGGAGUUGUCAGUGGUGUGAGGGUUAAUGAACAAAAGCUUGCACCUUGCUGCAGUGAGGCAAAAACCUCUGAGUCUUCGUGUUGUCACAAAGGUGUUGCUGAGCUUACAGUGCAUGAAAUAUCCCAGAACUCCUGCAAACUGCAGGAUUUACAUUUGCAGGCUAUAAUUACGGAGUCUCCAGCACCCUCCCACACUGUGCAAUGCUUCCACAGGCGAGAGCAGCCAAACACCUGUCUCAGGCUCCCAUGGGUUUGCAGGUCCCUGCUCGCGCCAGGCUCAGCUGCUGCAGGAGCCAGCUACCCUUUCCUGCAGCCCUCCUGUAUGGCUGGGUCACAGCAGGCAGUCAGACGGGGAUUUCGGUGUGGGACAUCAAUUCCGCCCCAGAGCACUGUCAGUGUGGUUAGGUUUACAAACAGGUGCUCACAGACAGGUUUAUUCAAUGCCACUUUGUAGUCAUUGUGAUGACUGGCUUGAACACAAGUGCUAGGGGCUCCGGGCACAGAAGUUUCGAGAGCUUCACUGGGGCCAGGCAGCACUGGGUUUGCAGAAGCCAGGUUCCCACUGCUGUGUGCUGCAGGGUCUCCCCCAGCACCUUGUUGUGAAGCUGGUUACAAGCUGAUGUCAUGGGAGGCUCUGCCCAGACUGGCACAGGCAGGUUGCUCCACAGAGGUGCACCUCUCUGCCCCCCAGGCACUUUCUGGAGAGCCCUUCCACAGCAUCCUCCCCUCCCAGCCCCCACAGCCGAGUAGUUCUUGCUCCCUCCUCGCAGUCUUCAAGUCAUGGCAGUGCUAAUGCCAGAUCCAGAAGAGAUGGCUAGCGAGAGAGAAGCUCCCCGGCACCUUGCUGAGCAGCACCUGGCUCACAGAGGGGAAGGAAGAGCUCACGGCCCACACCCAGGGCCAUCUUGGGAAUGCAGCCUCAGUGCUUACCCAACAAAUGCCAUGUGCCAAUUGGGGUAAAUGUGGAGGCUGUAGCUCUCAGGGAGGACCACAACCACCAGCUGAAAUGAAGCAGCACUGGGCGGAGGUGGUGUGUGGGCAGUGACACCUCAGAUGAGUGGAUUCAUGCCAAGGAAGAGCCUCAGUUCCUUAUGUCUAAUCCACGUGUGCUCCAUCUUUUGUAUCCCCUAGCAUUGGUCUGCACAUGCAUCCUCCACAUCCUGGAGGAGCAGAGGUAACUGGUGGGACACACACUGGUUCCUGAUGGCAGCCCAGGUCCAUCUGUCCUGCUGUGACCCUGUCUAAGCUUUCCAAGUCAUGUUUGUCUUAGUGUGCUCUGCCUGGAUUUGGCCUGACGUCAAACACCCCAAACAUGACUCGCAGCUACUGUUACUCGUUAUCACUGUAGCUGUUACUUUAUUAGCCUUCAACAGUUGGUCCUCCGGUGUUACGCUCUGAAAUGACUAAUGCCGAACCCAGUAAAGAGCAUCUGACAUUGCUGUGUGUGAAUAGCUGCUGUAGGCUUAGCAGGCAGCCAUAUGACAUGUCAUGUGGCAAGUGGAUAUACCCCCAGUAAGUUCAGUGUGUGUCCCAUAAUCCUGCUCCAAGGGCACCCGUUACGUCAGCUCUCUGCAGUGGCUGCAGGACUCCCCAGGAACAUGGCAUGGGAGCUCUGGCAGUCAGGGAAUUCCCCUUUUGCCACCCAAACCACAGGGCAGCAGCUGGUGUUGAGCAUGAGAUAAGACAUGUGCACAGCUCAUAGAGAGAGCUUUCCUUUUGCCACUGCCAGAAGAGCACAAAUUGUUCCUUUGUCAUCUCGUGUGCUCUCUCUUGCUUUAGCUCACUCACUUCUAUCUUUAUGACACCCAAACUGAAACUGAGGUGUGGGUGACCCAACCAAGGUCCUUGGAGCAGCUGCAGGCCCCCGCAGCAGCCCUGGCCCGAAAGCACCGCCAGGUCCCCCGCUCAGCCCUUGCUCUUCCCUGUGCUCUGCAAAAUCCUCCCCUCUCCUGCUUGCUCUUGGGUGCCUCCUUCUGCAGUCGCAUGAAACCCUCAUGAUCCUGCAGUGCACACGCCAUUUGCUCCCCUGCAUUGUUCCCCCAGUGGAUAUUUAUUUGAAGGGUUUCAUUAAAUUAUCUCACCAGCAUCACUUGGUACACAACUACAAAUUAAUUCAGUUUGCAUUUUGGCUGACCUAAUAUUCAUUAUAUUCCAGUCAAGUGCAUGUGUUUUCUAUUUGACAGUUGGUUCCAUGAUAAGAUACGUGGUCCAAAGUACUACACUUAGGAAUAGGAGUAAUAUUUACAGACACUCCAUGCAAAUACUGCAAUUACCUGAUUAAUUACAGCCCUUACAUUUGGUUCUGGAGAUUGCACUCUUAUCCCUCCUUUCUCCCGCUCUUUCCCAGUUGCCAUAUCUGUUUAUAGUAGACGUGAAUAGCUUUCAGAUCUGUGUAAAUGAAGCAAAUCUGUCUCUAUAAAACCUAAGCACUACGUGGUUGCACAGAACCGCCUCCCAUUCCCCAUCACUGUGCUCACCCAUGGCAGCUUGGUGUGGCUGAAGUGCACUGAGCAGCUCCAGUGCUGCGCUUCUGCAGCAUCCUCAGUCCAAGGAGGUGGAAAUCAGAGCCCAAAUGUGGAAAGGAAAGUCAAGAGGGACUUGGAAACAGCGUUAAACAUGCAGGAGUGCUGUAACUGCAGUUCUCCUUAAACACAGAAAAUAAGCCAGCUGCAGUGGGAUCGACAGACAGACCCCUGCACGAGGAAACGUUGCAUUUCCACAGCAUUUUGUAUCCUGGGAUCAAAAAGCGCCUUUAAAACCUCCAUGCCACCAAGCCUAAAAGCAGCCACUGAAAUCAGCUGCCUGUAUGACACACAUUACCAGCCACAUUUUAUGUUCUUGUGUUCGUGUGAAAUUAGCAGACAGGGUUCGGGCAGAAGCACUUGGCUUUUUUCUUGAUGCUGUCUGUGGCCCCUCUGCUGACACCAGUGAAGUCAGCCCUGGCACAGCUGCCAGCUGGAGGAAAUAGUUGGGAAACAGAGGUGAAGCACUGGAAACUGCUCCUGGCUGGUUGGCAGCUCUGGACAAAUGGGCCUUGCUAGGGAGAUCUCAACACAGAAAAUACUGGAAAGGAGCACGAGAGCUCAAAUGUUCCCCACCUCCCAGCUCAUGCAUUUUGUCUUACCCAUAACCGCUUCGUCCUCCCUCUGCCAUUUUGGCCUCCUCUUGCUCACCCUCUGCUGCUCGCAGCCUGCCGCAGGUGCGGCUCUUCCCUGCCACCUCUUCCCACAGCCUCUGCCAAGCGGGGCUUCCUGCCCCCUGCCAGGAGCUUUCCUGGGGGCUUCCCUUUAUGCUUAAGCGCCCUGCAGUCAGGAAUCCUGCAGCAGUGCAGUUUCGUUAUCUGCAUGCCAAAUCCAUCACCGAGCCGAUCUCCAAGGUGAAAUAAAAACAUGCAUUACAAAUGAAAUGCUCUAUUGCUCUCCUUUGCCUCCUGCGAUCACCGUCACUGGAGAUCUUCGCGGUUAGUGUGAAAGACAGCUCUUCGCUACUAAUUAACAUCUCAAAGUAUUCCUCUCUCACCCUGCCACCAUGAUGCAGGGUCUGCUAGAGCCCGGGCUGUUUCUUGAAAUAAUUCAAUACUUGAGAAACAUCAGAGGGCUCCCUGUAAUCCCACAGAAUUGUCCUCAAGCUGCAUCCUGCUGCUGAUGCAUUAAGCUCUGCAGAGGCUGGCUCAGGUCUUCAACUAGAUUUAGCUCUCAGAAAGCACCUUUCCAAACACAGCAUGUCUGAUUUUACAGGCAGAAUUUUGUUUCUUGCAACAGUAAAUAGUCUGGCCAAAGAAAACACUGUGCUGCACGCGUCACCUGUGGAAAGUCACUGAGCGUACCUGUGCUUCCAGUUCCUUGUUGGAAUCCCACACUUUCUUUGUAUAGCUCAUAAACAGCUGGAUACAGAUAUUGUCUUUACUCUGUGUAUCUGCUGUGCUUGGUACACAAGCCUAAGUUCUCAGUCUCUUCUUGUGUCCUGCAAAAUCCAUAAACCAUAGUUCACAACCACAGUUUUCCAUACAAGCAUGGGGUAACCUGGGGCACCAGGUGACUUGCGGAAUUCCUCAGGAGAGGCUGCAUGUUCCCGCAUGCAUUGGCACCAGGGGCAAGUUUGUGUGUCCCCAUCCUGGCAACAAGCCUGCAAAAUUGGGGAAAUCCCAUUCCCUGUAAGCUGCCUUCCAUAUCCUCAGGGUUUCAAACCGUAUGGAUGGCUCAGGGGAGCCCCUACCCACCUGUGGCUGCUGGUUGGUACCUGGAGAUGAGAGCAAGUGGCAGGAUGGAGAUACCAAAGCCCUGAAGUAGGACAGCACCAUGCCUCUGAUAAGGACCAGAGAGCCCAUGGGUGAGUCACUGCUGGGCUGCUACAAAACUCUCCCCUGCCUGGACAUUGCUGAGUGUGCGUUUGGCAAUGGAGGAGUAGGAAGCACUGUUCUUGACUUUUGUAAAUGAGUAUGGCUCCAACACCCUCACCUGCAGCAAACACCUACUUGAUUCUUGAGCACCUAUCACUUUCACAUCUACACAUGCUGUAUGAGAACAGGAAUCUGGGAUCUCCCACCAAAAACUGCCUCAGCCUCAAGUUUAGCCCAAACUUGCCAUAACUUCCAAGAUCUUGCUCAUGGUCCAAGAUGGAAAGAGGUAGGUCUUAGUUGUUACUAGUACCUCUGGGAGCAUGAGCCUUGGAGAAAUAAUCACAGUUUUGGGAGCAGAUAAUGACAGAAUGGUAAAUUACAUAAUCUCCCGUAAACGGAGCCCAUUCGUAGCCCAAUUACCCGUCCCAGAAGCACCAUGCAAUUGAUUGCAGGGUUAUAUAAAGGGCUUUUCAUUAGUCAGAGAGCCACAAAGGGAGCUUUUUCCAAGUCUUCCUUGGGAUUACUUAACCAUCACUCUGGACAAGACCAGCAGAGCAUCACUUGGAUGGGUAGGAACAAUGUCUACCGUCUCUUCUCAAGCACGUCCGUGCCCUUCAGCCUCCCUGUGGGACAGCUGCUGCAGCUCCUGUACUAGCUGGGGCUGCCCAGAGCCGAGCCCCAAAUAGGGCAGGUCCAACCUGCACUGCUGGGGCCAGAAACUUAUGCAGAGAUGCUGGGGGUUAGAGCAUGGUCACCGCUUGGAUGAAAAAUAUAAUGCCCUACAAGCUGUACUGCACACAGCAAGACAACUGCAGCUGCAGCAAACAGCAGAGAUCCUUCUCUCUCUUCAUCAUGUCAGGGAUGUGCAGGUUUUUCUGCUCUCCCCAGCCUGUUGUAUAUAGCAGACACCAAGCAUGUGUGCCAGCAAUACUGUAACUGCAGCAGUGCCACCAUGCUGAAGAACGUGGCCAAGGACGCAGGUCCCACCCUUCCCACAGCUCAGCUGCCUGGCGGAGCGCUUCUCCACGGCACAGCUAGCAGCAGCACGUGUACCACACCGCUUCAUUCAUCCAGCUUGCGUCUGGUAUUGCAGACUAUCAAAGAGCAGACAGGAGGAAGACUAUCAAAGAACAAGUUCCUAUUCACUUGUCAUCUAGAAACAGUAACCUAUUUUAGGUGCAAUAAGAGAAAAAGUCCUGCGGGGGGUUGUUCCUUGGCUUUCACUGCCACUCAUUUUAAAAUCUCCCCUGGCCUCUCCCCUGUGACUGCCUGGGUGCAAUGCUGGCCAUUUCACAGUGCACCAAAUUUGGUGUCUUCCCUCCCCUGGCAGGAAUGACAAUGCAAACAAAAAUAGAUAAUGCAUUUAAAAAAUCUACAGUGGAUCGUCAUGGCAAUAAAUAAUUGUAGCAUGUUGCCAUAGUAACUCUAGCUGUAUUAAAGAGAGGCCUAUCUGCAGUUUAGCUAAAUUUAGUUGUUCCAAACUAUUAAAAAUAUUUUCAAGAACUCUGGUAACUCUUUAAAAAAAUGUUUAGGGUUGAAAAAAAUUAUUGAAUAUCAUCUUCAUUCAUGAUUUUGUUCUGACUCCAUAUACCAAAUGUACUUCAUCACUGAAGUUAUCAGUGCCAUGCAACCAACAUAAAAGCCAGAAAGCUGAGGAAGACACUGAGGAUUUUGCUGUUUCCCACAUGGCCAAGCCAUUCCACCCGCAUGUUUGGGGUCUGACAAUGUGUGGUUUCUGUUGUACUGACUGCAAUAGGAACUUGCCAUGGGCCUCUGGAGCCAGGGCUUCCCACCCAAAACUCAAAACCCACCAUCUACCUGCCUCAUCUUCAGAUUUGGGCUUCUAAUUUCCAAGCUUAUCUCAUGCUACAACGAGAAUGAGAAACAAGACUGCUGUGGCUCCAUCCCGCACAUGGUCUGGCAGCCGCAGACCUCCCUCAUUCCGCUGGGACCGCUUCUGUCCAUCCCGGGAAUGUCUCAUCUGUAUUUGGCUAAGGCAGAGGGGCUGAAGGAUGCACUUUUAAUAAAUUGCAAAAUAGUUCACGGAACAUUUUGGCAUAGCUAGUUGUUUUGCUGUCAGCUGGUGACAUGGUGCUAAUGGCACAACAAAUUACAGCUGCUGCAGGAUGGGGUAGCAAGGCAAUAGCCCUUGUCCAUAACCAAAGCUGAGUUUCCAAAAGGCACUUUUUAGCCCGUAUAAUUCUCUACAUCUCACAAGAAAAAAAAAAAGCAAGUCACUUCAUUGAUUUUCCAUUGAAAAGAGACUGCAACUGCAGCUCACAAAAAACUUGGACUGAACCAGAACGUGCAGCUCCGCAGGAAGAAAUACCCGAACUCCAUGCUGCUGCACGAUUUAGGGAAAACAGAACCGUGCCUUCUUGCUUCAAUACAAAACCAGAAAAAAAACAUUUUGAGUGCUCUUUAGCACAUCACUGCCUGUAAUUAUGGAAGUUUUCCUCUUUAUGCACCCUGAAAAUCUCUUGAAGUCAAGAAGAGGCCAAGAAACACGGCCGCGAGCGCCCAGUUGGAAGAGCGACCGUGCGGUUACAGCACUGAGCACAGCCCCAGAGCUCUGCUCAACACUUACCCUGAACUUUUAGUAGGACCUUGGGGAAAAUCACCUGCAAAUGUUCUUCUGCUGUAGUUUCCAAGCUGCAAAACAAGACUAAUGCAUUUACCUCUCACCCUUUGAUCUAGCUGGGCAGCUCAGCACAGCAAGGCAUCGUGUUUUGCUGGUACAUUUGCGCAGCACCCAGUGUGUUGCAGUCCAAACCCCCUUUGAGACACACACCCUGACAAGACACAGCCAGUGGUAACUCUCUGGUGCUGCUUUUCUUCAGCUUGACAGCAGCGUUGUGCUUGCUAGUUGGUUUCUACUUCCCCACAGCCCCAUGCUCUGGUGUAAUCAAAGGAGUGUAUUUCUAAGUACUUGCUCGGAGGUUGCCACUGACAGACUGCAAAACUUGGUGCUGGCAGCUGGGUUAUGAGCCUCCUUCUGCAACAGAUGCUGCCCACAGUGUGGGGAGCUCCCUGGCAGCAUCCUCAGCUGCAGCCUCAGCUGCACCCCUCCCAGCCUGGGCUCUGUUAUCACUCCUCUGACUGUGCCGAUGUGAGCUGGAGACAUCCCAGCCCACCACCCACCGCCCUCUCAGCCCUGGCAGGAACUCAUCAAGGUUGCCCUGCAAACCCAAAGCGGCUGCAGGGAAUGGUGAGGAGCAGUGCUGUUUACAUAGGGCCGUAGCCAGUUUUCAGAAGCAGAACAUACAACAAGGAUGGAAAGGCUCAGCCCUGGGCAGGGAAGGGAAAUUCGUUACCUUGAGAGUCAUUGGGCGUUGCGAAGCCUGGCAUUUCACUCCUCCAUCCUCUGCCCAGCAGGAUUCCCUGUGCCCUCAUUCACAUUUAGAACUAUGAAGGAGAGAGCAGGAUCCUGUAUCGCUUAUGGUCUGUUGUACACUGUGGAUACAGCAUCUAAAUUAGGUUUAAAAAUAGACCACUUUUUUUUCUUGUUGUAAACAGAAGUUAUUAUCUCAUGGAAACAUUUAACCUCAAAUGGAACCUCAUCUAAUUUUUGCUGUGUUUAUUAUAGCCUGUGAAAAAUGAAUGAGUGCCACUGAUAUAACUCCAUACGAUUAUUGAGCUGCAAUGGGCCAGCUGGAAAAGAUUCAGCAGUUUGGAUAAAGAAACAAAAGUUCUAAUAUUGUGCUGAUCUUUACUGGACAGUCCUAACCUCCGGGGCAGGAAAUGCUGGGACCAUCCUUCCUCAUGGAGUUGUGUUGGGUUUGCCCUGGUUGUGGCUGCCCACGGGAAACACAAGAGCCGAUGGCAAAAACACACGGCAGACUGAACUGUCACUAACUGAUGUGCAAAAAAAGAGAAUUAAGAAACACUGGUUUCACACUUUUAUUUUUGUCAUGAUCUUAAGAUGUCUGUAAUGCCACGUGUUAGUAUUCAUAGUUCGUUUUUCGGUGCGUUUAAAUAAUAUAUACAGUUAUUUACCUAAAACUGUGAUGGAAGUUUUUGCCUGAUUCUGAAGAAAGGGGCAAUUUCAGCUUAAUGUCAUUUGCGCUAGUAGCUUUGCUGUCACAAAAUAAUAGUUUAAGCCAAUCGUACCAAUCCUGCGAGCAGCUCCUGAAAAGGGGUGUGUUAUUUAGGUUGGCAAAUCCCAUGGGGUUGACUCCUCAGGGGGGGGCAGCAGACCCCCACUGCCACUAACCCUGCUGCUGGGCUUUGCCGACAGGGAAACCUCGUUAGUUCUUGCAGCAUGCAUUCAGAGUGGCUCCACUGGAGUUUUUUUCAUAGCCCUGGUUACUGGUAACCCAUGUAAUGGGCACGAAAGUCCAGAAUUUGUUCCUUUUAAAACCUGUUCUCCAUCACUGAGACGUCUGGCAUCUUUAAAAGCAAGUCAUCUUCACAUUGCUUCUUGCAAAUUAAAACCAAAUAACAAUAAUUCAAAUAGUAAUAAUAAUAAAGUAUGAGUUCAAGGCAAUUCAAGAUGAUCAGUUUUACAAGUUGGAUUUCUGUGAAGGAAACAGAUGCAGUUCCCAAACACUCACCUUCUCCCUCACCUCUCAGUGCCUGCGUGCAGAUAUAAGCCCUGCAUGUAGCAGAGCUACUCCUGGUCUAUUCUUGUAGUGCUGAGAUGGAGAUCAAGCCCACUGCAGCGCAAAGCUUAAUAAUGCCCAUCUUCAGUUAAUUCCUGUUACGCUCAAUGGAAAACACACCUUGUGAAAAGUCCAGGUGCGGGACCAUUUGUUACAAAGACUACGCAGAAAUCUAUUGGAAAAUUCAAUGUGUUUAAUUCCACUUACUGGCUUUUCCCUUAAAAGUCCUAAAUUGGAAAAACGUGUUCAUUCUAAAGAGGAAACAAAGAAAACACUACAACGUUUUGUUAGCCCAAAACCGAGGAAAUAUCUGCAUCGCUCUCUGGACAGUUGCUGGGUGCAUCGUUUGUGAAGUGGUGUAACUGUAACAAGUGAUGUGCGGUCUAGAUAAUUUUUACAUUACAUCUGUGCUUAAAAAUAAUUUAAUUUUAGAAGGGAAAAAUAGUUGCUAAGGAACCAGUUACAAACUCCUGGCUGGUUCUUCGUGAAGUGCACAGACAAAUAUUUCUAUUGAAGCCGUUAGAACUAUUCCAGAGAAGAAAUUAAAUGCUGUAAAUAGAAGAACAGUUUUACUGUUCUCUUCACAUUAGAGUUUUCAUACUUUUACAUGCGUUACUUUGGGGGCAGGAAUAAGUCUUGCUUAAUUUCAGUAAUGCAAUAAAAAAUUUUAAUUUAGGAUGUGGGCAAGAUUCUUAAUAUGGAAAUAACUAAAUAAC